This 487-nucleotide ribosomal RNA is filed under the name Glyphidrilus borealis. RNAcentral describes it as "partial small subunit ribosomal RNA". It matches the Rfam family "Bacterial large subunit ribosomal RNA", at positions 1818 to 2596 of the family's 2925-position model. The record is from RNAcentral. Lineage: Eukaryota; Metazoa; Annelida; Clitellata; Crassiclitellata; Almidae.
UGCCUCUCGAAUUAACAUGAGAGGUCCCUCCUGCCCAGUGAAAAAUUUUUCAACGGCCGCGGUAUCCUAACCGUGCAAAGGUAGCAUAAUCACUUGCCUAUUAAUUGUAGGCUAGAAUGAACGGAUAAACGAAAUAAGCCCUGUCUCAAUUAAAUUAGAUAAAAACUAUAUUCUAAAUGAAGAUAUUUAGAUAAAAACGAAGGACAAGAAGACCCUAUAGAGCUUUAUAUUAUUCUAAGAGAAAAAAAACUCUAAACAUAUUCGGUUGGGGCGACCAAGGAUAUAAAAAUCAUCCUAAAUUUCAAGAUUUAUAAAUCUCUAUAAAGACCCUUAUUAAAGAUCUUAAGAACAAGCUACCUUAGGGAUAACAGGCUAAUCUCAUUAAAGAGUCCUUAUCUACAAUGUGGGUUGGCACCUCGAUGUUGGCUUAGGGUAUCAAUAUGGCGCAAAAGUCAUAAUACGAUGGUUUGUUCAACCAAUAAUUCCU